Globicephala melas (long-finned pilot whale) is the source of this 425-nucleotide long non-coding RNA. RefSeq lists it as uncharacterized. The record is from RefSeq and is a predicted model, not a curated record. Lineage: Eukaryota; Metazoa; Chordata; Mammalia; Artiodactyla; Delphinidae.
AUUUCCUCCUGUUCUCCCAUUUUUUAAAGUUACGGGAUUUUGACACCUGGGGGCAGACCCGGGCGCAGAGCCUCACCGUGCCGGGCCUCGUGAAGUCCACGCUGCGCGCCAGGCUCUGCCGCAUCUGGUUGCUGAAGAGGCGGACGCAGACGCUCUGCAGGUACUCGGGGGUGAUCUGUCGGAGGACAGAGGAUGGACGGCGGGUGAAAGGGGUGAGACAUCCCCGGAGCCGUGAGAGGCACCCUAGCCAGUGUCGGAGCUGACUCUCAACAGCCUCUCCGAGGGCACAAAGGGUGGCUUGUGGGAUCUCAGUUCCCUGACCAGGGAUUGAACCUGUGCACUCAGCAGUGAAACUGCAGAGUCCUAACCACUGGACCGCCAGGGAUUUCCCAUCAAAUAAACCGAUUUUAAAUUUAUUUAUUUUA